GCCGAGGUAGCUCAGUUGGUAGAGCAGAGGACUGAAAAUCCUCGUGUCGGCAGUUCAAUUCUGUCCCUCGGCACCA
Molecule: transfer RNA, 76 nt
Filed under: Desulfovibrio sp.
Lineage: Bacteria; Pseudomonadati; Thermodesulfobacteriota; Desulfovibrionia; Desulfovibrionales; Desulfovibrionaceae
Also listed under: 2 other names
Description: tRNA-Phe(gaa)
Rfam family: tRNA
About the family: Transfer RNA (tRNA) molecules are approximately 80 nucleotides in length. Their secondary structure includes four short double-helical elements and three loops (D, anti-codon, and T loops).
Source: RNAcentral